This 460-nucleotide ribosomal RNA is filed under the name uncultured bacterium. RNAcentral's name for it is "partial 16S ribosomal RNA". It matches the Rfam family "Bacterial small subunit ribosomal RNA", at positions 338 to 795 of the family's 1533-position model. The record is from RNAcentral.
CCUACGGGAGACUGCAGUGAGGAAUAUUGGUCAAUGGACGAGAGUCUGAACCAGCCAAGUAGCGUGAAGGAUGACUGCCCUAUGGGUUGUAAACUUCUUUUAUAAAGGAAUAAAACGAGGCACGUGUGCCUUUUUGCAUGUACUUUAUGAAUAAGGAUCGGCUAACUCCGUGCCAGCAGCCGCGGUAAUACGGAGGAUCCGAGCGUUAUCCGGAUUUAUUGGGUUUAAAGGGAGCGUAGAUGGGUUGUUAAGUCAGUUGUGAAAGUUUGCGGCUCAACCGUAAAAUUGCAAUUGAUACUGGUAGUCUUGAGUACAGUUGAGGUAGGCGGAAUUCGUGGUGUAGCGGUGAAAUGCUUAGAUAUCACGAAGAACCCCGAUUGCGAAGGCAGCUUACUAAACUGUGACUGACAUUGAUGCUCGAAAGUGUGGGUAUCAAACAGGAUUAGAUACCCUUGUAGUC